Molecule: non-coding RNA, 3012 nt
Organism: Schizosaccharomyces pombe (fission yeast)
Lineage: Eukaryota; Fungi; Ascomycota; Schizosaccharomycetes; Schizosaccharomycetales; Schizosaccharomycetaceae
Source: the annotation of a GenBank genome assembly
GUGAUUCCUUGAUGGUUCCGUUUACGUUCUGAACCGCUGUUUCAGCAUUAACGGCAACGGAAGAGGUAGUACCGUCUUCUUUUACCUGAAUUUCUUUAUCAAUACUGCUUUGGACGAGAGUCGAUGGAUCUUUGUCAAACUGUUGAGUCAUUGACGGAAUAAUUGUAGUAUCAGCAACAGAUGAAUCCGUCGACGUAAAGAACGAUCGUACAAACGAUUUCAUAGACUUGUUGUCUCUUUCCGUAGGUCCGUUAACAGUAUACUUGCUCGAAUCCUGGAUUCCCGUAGGAAUAUUAUUUGAUUGCUGUUCCAAGGAGGCUUUGGGAGUUAUAAUCUCUUGCCAAAACGCAUCGUCGAAAACCUUGUCUCUUACGUCAGAGGGAGCGUGAAGAUAGGCAAAUUUCAGGGCUGUAUCCCCCUUCAACCUAAGUUUAUAUGUGAUUUUUCCAAUCAAUUUAAGCUUAUCCAUAGAAGAAAAAUCUCUUUUUAAAGGCUCCAGUCCUUCCGGCAGAUAGAAAACUUCUUGUGUAGCAAAAGUCACGAUCGUUUUCCAAGUAGAACCCGGGAACGACCUAUAGGUAUCCAAAGCAGUUAAUUUAUCCUUCUUGGAGAAAUCCUUUGUAAAAAAUUUAACUUUGGAAAUUUCAGUGGGAAACAGAUCAGGAAAUCUGUCAAAGAUGAGAGCCAUUCUAUUCAGGAAAGCGAGGUAAUAUUCAAGUUGUACAUGUAGCGAGCCUUUCGGAGGGUUAUAAAUGCAUUGCUUGUGAAUCAUAUCAAUCAAUAUGGGCGUAGAAGUGUAGUAUUUGUCCAAGAAAUGUAUCAGUGUUGCAGGGAACCAUCGCGCAUACAAAAGCAGCAAAAUAGUCGAGCUUGGGCUUAAAUUGUUGUACAAAUCCUUGUAAGAUUCCUCGAUAUCUUCAUUUAUAUGAGAUGCAUGCGCAUCAUUAUAAUGUGAAGAUUUUCUUUUCAUUGUGUUCAACCAACCUUACGCGCGCGCCUUAUUUCCGAAUGUUGUUUACGUCUCACAAAACAAGUCAACGUGACAAUUGGCCUACAAAGUAAUGGUAGUUGUCCAAAAUUUUGUAAUUAUAUAUUCUUCAAAAGUAGAUUCUUCCAAUUUCCCAAAUCCGUCCCUCCACGAUGGAGUUGGUAAAUGGAAAAGCUAUGUAUUUCAUUACAACCUAUACAUCGUAUCCAUGACCUCAUGGGCUAGUUUAGGAUACGAACGCUGGAAUGCGCCAAAAUCGCUUAGUGAAAUUGAAGCCAACAUCCUUAAUUUAAAAGGCUUGAAUUGGCUCAAAUAUGCAUAUAAACGGUGCUGCUUCUCAAUCCUAAUUAAACAAUUAUUUGUAAUUCAAUUUAUAUUUUAUCAAUUUCUCUUCAUUGGGAACAAGACCUGAUACUUCUUUUGUUUUCUGAUCCUAAAAAAACGGGAAACUGCGACUGGUUUUCCAGUCCUCGAUUUCUCCGAAUUGUAUCUUAGACGAGAAAUUCUCUCAUAAAUUCUUGGAAAAGCAGCUGUGUAAUUUUACACGCACUGUCAAAACCGAUUUGGUCGUAGAACUACUCGUUCGCUCCGUUAUAAACAAAAGAAAGUAUAUAGCGUAUGUUGGCGGAAAUCUUAUAAAAUUAUAUAAAAAUACAUGUGUUAUUUAUAAAAUACGAUAUCAGUUAAAAAUAAAAACUAAUUCGCAUGUAAAUAAUAACGAAAACCCCUGUUUUCUGCGUAUAUAUAUAUAUUUUUUUUUUCAAUUGAAAGACUAUCAAAUACAUGUCAAGAUUUUUCUUCUAAUAACUUGGAGAAGGAAUCUUGUUGAAAAGAUACUAUUUAUUUUGAACGGGUUAACUCUCAUUUGUUUGAUAUCUAUGGACUUUGCUCAUGCACAUCGUACAAAGCCGUUUAUAUGGUAAUGCUUUAACUAAACGAAAUUAAUCUCUUUUUUCCAAAGAUGCUAAAGAACUUUUAUUUAUUUUCACAUUCGUUCGGCAAGUAGGUAAUUUCCGUCAUAAUUCUAUAAGAGGCGAAUAUGCAAUUGUUAAUAUAUUUACAUCUUGUCCUUUCACACUUCAAAUAAUAAAUAAUAAAGCAAGAUUAAAAGCAAGAAAUACAAUUGAAAAAUCGUAAAUAUAUACAGAGAUUUUGUCUUCGGUAUGGCCUAUUCCACAUUGAAAAUUUCGCAACCCGGUAUGGUGGCUACAAUAUUAGUUACAUUCAAAGUGUAUUUGUUGAAUCUUUUGUGCACAGUAUAUGGAUCUGAAAUUUCAUUCUCAUUCACUAGAGGCAUCAUUGGUAAUAUUGAAUCCCUGGCAUGUUAUAUUGGGCUUUGUUUUUUUGUUUAUGGUAUGAAGGGAUAGGAUUAAAGGCUUCGUUCAAAAAAUAUAUCUAAUGUACAGUAGGUAUUCUGCAAUCAAAUUUUGAGUUUGUAGUCUGGUGAAUUUAUCGCACCAUCUAAUUGAGAUCGACAAUUAUCAAGGGAGCUUUCACAUAGAGUAUUAAGAAGCACUAGAGAUAUGGGUCAAAGCAUGUAUGGUUUUUUGUUUUCUUUAUUCAUUUUUUCAAAGUUUAAAUUUAAAUGGAACUUUUUAAGGCAUGUUGGCACCACCGAUUUGCAAUUCAAAAUUGAACCAAAUUAGCAACAUUUUGGAUUGGCUACUGUUAAUCAACCUUUAGAGCCUGCAGAAAAUUUAUCCAGAAAUGGAGUACAUGACUUCUCCAUUGUCAUUCAAAAUUAACAAGCGAAAAAACCAAAUACCAACAUGUGCUUCUAGAAUGGGUUAUGGGUUAUCGCGUUCUGAAAGUUGGCUGGAGACUCAAUCUUUUUUAAUUGACCUUGUUUAUCUAAUGAGCUCAAGUUUAACCAUUAUUAAAAAAUGAAUGCUCGAAUGCAAAGGUAUUUGGUUCCUUACUUUAUUAAUUUUGCGAGAAGCUUGUUUAUAGGCAUUCUUUGUACCGAAAUCAAAACCCGAUAGUCAAAUAUAAUAGUUUUUAAUCAUUAUAAAAAUGGCGAUGCG